RNAcentral lists this ribosomal RNA (901 nucleotides) under uncultured bacterium. RNAcentral describes it as "bacterial SSU rRNA". It matches the Rfam family "Bacterial small subunit ribosomal RNA", at positions 23 to 904 of the family's 1533-position model. The record is from RNAcentral.
CUCAGAGCGAACGUUAGCGGCGCGCCUAACACAUGCAAGUCGCACGAGAAAGGGCUUCGGCCCCGGUACAGUGGCGCACGGGUGAGUAACACGUGGGUAACCUUCCCGGGUGUGGUGGAUAACCUGCCGAAAGGCGGGCUAAGACAGCAUACGCUGCGUCCCUUUCGAGGGGCGCAGGAAAGCAGGCCUCUAUACAUAAGCUUGCGCACACGGACGGGCCCGCGUCCCAUCAGCUAGUUGGUGAGGUAACGGCUCACCAAGGCGACGACGGGUAGCUGGUCUGAGAGGAUGGCCAGCCACACUGGAACUGAGACACGGUCCAGACUCCUACGGGAGGCAGCAGUGGGGAAUCUUGCGCAAUGGGCGAAAGCCUGACGCAGCGACGCCGCGUGGGUGACGAAGGCCUUCGGGUUGUAAAGCCCUGUGGGGCGGGACGAACUCGUGCCGGGUAAACAACCCGGUGCGUUGACGGUACCGCCUUAGCAAGCACCGGCUAACUCUGUGCCAGCAGCCGCGGUAAGACAGAGGGUGCAAACGUUGCUCGGAAUUACUGGGCGUAAAGCGCGUGUAGGCGGUCUCGCGAGUCGGGUGUGAAAGCCCGGGGCUCAACCCCGGACGUGCACUCGAUACUACGAGGCUGGAGUACUGUAGAGGAGAGCGGAAUUCCCGGUGUAGAGGUGAAAUUCGUAGAUAUCGGGAGGAACACCAGUGGCGAAGGCGGCUCUCUGGACAGUGACUGACGCUGAGACGCGAAAGCGUGGGUAGCAAACAGGAUUAGAUACCCUGGUAGUCCACGCCGUAAACGAUGAACACUGGGUGUUGCGGGUAUUGACCCCCGCGGUGCCGAAGCCAACGCGUUAAGUGUUCCGCCUGGGAAGUACGGCCGCAAGGCUAAACUUAA